Molecule: ribosomal RNA, 372 nt
Filed under: uncultured organism
Description: bacterial SSU rRNA
Rfam family: Bacterial small subunit ribosomal RNA
Source: RNAcentral
CGGAGGGCGCAAGCGUUGUUCGGAAUUACUGGGCGUAAAGCGCGCGCAGGCGGGAAGGUAAGUCUGGAGUGAAAUUCCGGGGCUCAACUCCGGAGCUGCUUUGGAUACUGUCUUUCUAGGGACCGGUAGAGGCCGGUGGAAUUCCCGGUGUAGCGGUGGAAUGCGUAGAGAUCGGGAAGAACACCCGUGGCGAAGGCGGCCGGCUGGGCCGGAUCCGACGCUGAGGCGCGAAAGCGUGGGGAGCAAACAGGAUUAGAUACCCUGGUAGUCCACGCUGUAAACGAUGGGCACUAGGUGCCGGGGGGAGCGACCCCGUCGGUGCCGUAGCUAACGCGAUAAGUGCCCCGCCUGGGGAGUACGGCCGCAAGGCUG